GAUGAAGAACGUAGCGAAAUGCGAUACGUAAUGUGAAUUGCAGAAUUCAGUGAAUCAUCGAGUCUUUGAACGCACAUUGCGCCCCCUGGUAUUCCGGGGGGCAUGCCUGUCCGAGCGUCAUUGCUGCCCUCAAGCACGGCUUGUGUGUUGGGCCUCCGUCCUCCUCCCGGGGGACGGGCCCGAAAGGCAGCGGCGGCACCGCGUCCGGUCCUCGAGCGUAUGGGGCUUCGUCACCCGCUCUUGUAGGCCCGGCCGGCGCUUGCCGACACAUCAAUCUUUUUUCCAGGUUGACCUCGGAUCAGGUAGGGAUACCCGUUGAACUUAAGCAUAUCAAUAAGCGGAGGA
RNAcentral lists this unclassified non-coding RNA (345 nucleotides) under soil metagenome. RNAcentral describes it as "partial contains 5.8S ribosomal RNA, internal transcribed spacer 2, and large subunit ribosomal RNA". The stretch from base 1 to 120 matches the Rfam family "5.8S ribosomal RNA", at positions 35 to 154 of the family's 154-position model. The record is from RNAcentral.